This 64-nucleotide transfer RNA is filed under the name Sipunculus nudus (marine worm). RNAcentral's name for it is "tRNA-Cys". Lineage: Eukaryota; Metazoa; Annelida; Sipuncula; Golfingiida; Sipunculidae. The record is from RNAcentral.
GCCCUGUAGUUGACUCUUACAACAUCGAACUGCAGACUCGAAAGCGUGCUACCGCACUUGGGCU